This 408-nucleotide ribosomal RNA is filed under the name uncultured bacterium. RNAcentral's name for it is "partial 16S ribosomal RNA". It matches the Rfam family "Bacterial small subunit ribosomal RNA", at positions 28 to 526 of the family's 1533-position model. The record is from RNAcentral.
GACGAACGCUGGCGGCGUGCUUAACACAUGCAAGUCGAACGAAGUGGCGAACGGGUGAGUAAUACGUGAGUAACCUGCCCUCCUUUUUGGGAUAAGCCUUGGAAACGGGGUCUAAUACCGGAUAGAGGGGGAUGGGCUCGCGGCCUAUCAGCUUGUUGGUGGGGUGCUGGCCUACCAAGGCGGGGACGGGUAGCCGGCCUGAGAGGGUGACCGGCCACAUUGGGACUUAGAUACGGGCCAGACGCCUACGGGAGGCAGCAGGGGGUAAUAUUGCACAAUGGGCGGAAGCCUGAUGCAGCGACGCCGCGUGGGGGAUGACGGCCGUCGGGUUGUAAACUCCUUUCACCAUCGACGCGGUAGAUGGAGAAGAAGCACCGGCUAACUACGUGCCAGCAGCCGCGGUAAUUC